Molecule: long non-coding RNA, 771 nt
Organism: Vitis vinifera (wine grape)
Lineage: Eukaryota; Viridiplantae; Streptophyta; Magnoliopsida; Vitales; Vitaceae
Exons: 2
Source: RefSeq, a predicted model, not a curated record
CAUGGGAGAAGUAGCUUCACAAAGAUUACUUUCAAGAGGGUGAUUCCCCUCAUUAAAGAAGAUGAAAUCACAAUACAAAGAAGACCCCUAGUUUUGUUCUCAAGUGUUGAUCUCCUAUCAAUUAAUCAGAGAAGCUCCACCACUUUUGGGUACAUGAUCGUCCAUGAGUUGAAUGCAGAAGCGCAUUGGAAAGAGAUUUUAUCCUGGAAGGAAAAGAAGCAUCCAACCAAAAGUAGACUGUAUCUAGUUCAAAAAGGCAUCGAACCAACAACUUCAUCUCCAAUCUGGUAAAAGAACAGACUGUGGUAUCAACACAAACGCUAUUCUUCUACCGCAAACACUAGAUACCAGCAGUUCCUUGAAGAGCAUUUCCAUACUACCAAAACACACUUUUAACAAACAUUCAAAAGAUUGGAAUAGGUGCAUGGUAUUAUCAAAACAUAUGCAUCUUGCCUCUCAAACUACUCACGCGCUGAUGGAUCCCAAUUGUUCUAAAAAAAAUACUGACGCGCUCUUUUUACGUUUCAAGAUGAUUUUAGCCUCAGCAAAACUCAAUCACAAAUCCAGAUCCCAAGAAUUCCAAAAGUUCUUGUAACCAUAGAGCAAGAAGUCAUAAAGAAGAAGAAGAGAGACCUUGAUGGCGAUGGCUACAGCCUGGCCGACAAGACCUGGAUCUGACUGCCACGUACCCAACCCUACCGAAGGCAUCUUAGCUCCAGUGUUGAGUUGAAAGAACCGGAUGUCGUCCGACAUUUCCAGAUGAUCUGAAGA